This 1436-nucleotide ribosomal RNA is filed under the name uncultured bacterium. Its description in RNAcentral is "bacterial SSU rRNA". It matches the Rfam family "Bacterial small subunit ribosomal RNA". The record is from RNAcentral.
AGAGUUUGAUCCUGGCUCAGAACGUACGCUGGCGGCACGCCUAAUACAUGCAAGUCGAACGAAGUAGCAAUACUUAGUGGCAGACGGGUGAGUAACAUGUGGGUAUCUUCCCUUUGGUGAGGAAUAACACGAGGAAACUUGUGCUAAUACCUCAUAAGUCUUUACGGAGAAAGCUUUAUGCGCCAUUGGAUGAGCCCGCACUUGAUUAGUUUGUUGGUGGGGUAAUGGCCUACCAAGACUUUGAUCAAUAGCUGAUUUGAGAGGAUGAUCAGCCACAUUGGGACUGAGACACGGCCCAAACUCCUACGGGAGGCAGCAGUAGGGAAUCUUGCACAAUGGAGGAAACUCUGAUGCAGCGAUGCCGCGUGAGUGAAGAAGGCCUUUGGGUUGUAAAGCUCUUUCGUCGGGGAAGAAAAUGACUGUACCCGAAUAAGAAGGUCCGGCUAACUUCGUGCCAGCAGCCGCGGUAAUACGAAGGGACCUAGCGUAGUUCGGAAUUACUGGGCUUAAAGAGUUCGUAGGUGGUUAAAAAAGUUGGUGGUGAAAGCCCAGAGCUUAACUCUGGAACUGCCAUCAAAACUUUUUAGCUAGAGUAUGAUAGAGGAAAGCAGAAUUUCUAGUGUAGAGGUGAAAUUCGUAGAUAUUAGAAAGAAUACCAAUUGCGAAGGCAGCUUUCUGGAUCAUUACUGACACUGAGGAACGAAAGCAUGGGUAGCGAAGAGGAUUAGAUACCCUCGUAGUCCAUGCCGUAAACGAUGUGUGUUAGAUGUUGGAAAUUUAUUUUCAGUAUCGCAGCGAAAGCGAUAAACACACCGCCUGGGGAGUACGACCGCAAGGUUAAAACUCAAAUGAAUUGACGGGGACCCGCACAAGUAGUGGAGCAUGUGGUUUAAUUCGAAGAUACGCGCAGAACCUUACCAACACUUGACAUGUUCGUCGCGACUCUAAGAGAUUAGAGUUUUCGGUUCGGCCGGACGAAACACAGGUGCUGCAUGGCUGUCGUCAGCUCGUGUCGUGAGAUGUUGGGUUAAGUCCCGCAACGAGCGCAACCCUCACUUUUAGUUGCCACCAUUUAGUUGGGCACUCUGAAAGAACUGCCAGUGAUAAGCUGGAGGAAGGUGGGGAUGACGUCAAGUCCUCAUGGCCCUUAUGUGUUGGGCUACACACGUGCUACAAUGGCAUUUACAAUAGGAAGCAAAACGGUGACGUUAAGCAAAUCCUAAAAAAAUGCCUCAGUUCGGAUUGUACUCUGCAACUCGAGUACAUGAAGCUGGAAUUACUAGUAAUCGCGGAUCAGCGCGCCGCGGUGAAUACGUUCCCGGGUCUUGUACACACCGCCCGUCACACCAUGGGAGUUGGUUCUACCUUAAGGCAAAGCUUAAAACCUUUGACCACGGUAUAGUCAGCGACUGGGGUGAAGUCGUAACAAGGUAACC